Molecule: long non-coding RNA, 12012 nt
Filed under: Malus domestica (apple)
Lineage: Eukaryota; Viridiplantae; Streptophyta; Magnoliopsida; Rosales; Rosaceae
Description: long non-coding RNA (MDOM_LNC017111)
Source: RNAcentral
UUGCACCAAGUCUCCAAGAUCUUCCCAAAAUUUCUCCUUCGAACUCGUAUCCAACCCUACUUGAGGUGCGUACGCACUAAUCACAUUGAUAAGUUCUUGUCCUAUUACAAUCUUGAUUGCCAUGAUUCUAUCUCCUACCCUCUUGACAUCUACAACAUCUUGUACCAAGGUCUUGUCCACGAUGAUGCCAACACCGUUUCUCGUUCUAUUUGUGCCCGAAUACCAAAGUUUAAACCCUGAGUUUUCUAGAUCCUUUGCCUUACUACCAACCCACUUAGUUUCUUGUAGGCACAUAAUAUUUAUCCUUCUCCUCACCAUAACUUCCACUACUUCCAUAGAUUUUCCCGUUAAGGUUCCUAUAUUCCACGUUCCUAAACGCAUUUUGCUCUCUUGAACUCUACCCUUCUGUCCUAGCUUCUUCACAUUCCCCCGUCUAAUAGGAUCAAAGUACUUCUUUUGUGUGUCCCGGGUAAAGUUGAUAGGAGCAUAUGCUCCCAAACAACUUUGAGUGGAGUCGUUCGAAAAGAAGUUUCUAUGGCCCCCUUGCUCAUUUAACACUGCAUCCGGGUGCCGAUGGAGAUACAGCGACCCUUGCUCACUUAUCACUGUGCUCAGGCCACACAGCGCGCCACUUACGGGUGACGCCCUAGCUUUAGCGCGAUUUUGUUCUGGAUUCAUUUUCAUAAGGAUUCGACGUGAUCAUGGAGUGCCGGCUGUCGACUACCUGACGCCCUCCCCCUCCUCCUUUAUCCGGGCUUGGGACCGGCCAUGUAAGACAUAGGCGGAGUUCCAAAACAGCUCUCCAUUUCUUCUAUUUUGCUUCUGAAUCUUUUAAGUUUCGGUUUACUGUUCGAUCGUUUUGUGUUUUGGUUCAUCUGCUUAUUAAUUCAAAUCUUGUAUCGCCUGCGAGAUUGCUUUUGAUCCGUUCGAUUGAUGGGAAUGUGCCAGUUUCAUAUGCUAACCCCAGUCACAGGCAUAUGGAGAUAGCCAUUGCCAUGUUGGAAUUGAAUACUGUGGCCGAAAGAGGUGUUGGUGUUCAGGCACUGGACUUGUUGAUUCAUGUUUACUGCACCCAAUUCAAGAGUAUGGGUUUUGGUUACGCCGUUGAUAUGUUUAUGUGUUUUUCUGAUAAGGGCUUCUUUCCAUCGUUGAAGAUUUGUAAUUUUUUGUUGAGUUCGUUAGUGAAGGCUAGCGAACUUCAUAAGAGUUAUCAAGUAUUUGAAGUUAUGUCUCGAGGUGUUUCUCCUGAUGUUUACUUGUUUACUACUGCAAUUAAUGCAUUUUGUAAGGGAGGGAAGGUUGAUGAAGCGAUAGGUUUGCUCUCAAAAAUGGAAGGGUGGGGUAUUGCUCCAAAUGUUGUUACAUACAAUAAUGUUAUUCACGGGCUUUGUAAGAGCAGGAGAUUAGACGAAGCUUUCCAGUUCAAGAAGAAGAUGGUAGAAAACAAUGUGAACCCGAGUCUUAUAACGUACAGUGUGCUCAUUAAUGGUUUGAUCAAGCUGGAAAAGUUUUAUGAGGCAAAUUGUGUUUUGAAGGAAAUGUCCAAUAGGGGAUUUGUCCCGAAUGAGGUUGUCUAUAACACAUUGAUUGAUGGGUAUUGUAAAACGGGAAAUAUCAGUGAGGCACUAAAGAUAAUGGAUGAUAUGUUGUCCAAUGGAUUAACUCCCAAUUCUGUUACUCUUAAUUCUCUGCUGCAGGGAUAUUGUAAAACUAAUCAGUUGGAGCAUGCUGAGCAGAUUUUAGACAAGAUGCUGUCCCAUUGUUUAUCCAUAAAUCAAGCUGUUUGUUUCUCAGCUAUUCACUGGUUAUGCAUGAGAUCUAGGUUCAAUUCUGCGCUAAAGUUUACUAUAGAAAUGCUUUUAAGAAACUGUAGGCCUAGUGAUGGCUUGCUAACCACGUUGGUUUGUGGGCUUUGUAAAGAUGGAAAGCAUUCUGAGGCAGUUGAACUUUGGUUUAGGCUAUGUGAUCUAGGAUUUGCAGCCAACACUGCGACUUCAAAUGCCUUAAUUCAUGGACUUUGUGAAUCUGGUAGCACACAAGAUGUUGUUCUGCGACUGAAAACAAUGCUAGAGAGAGGUUUGGUAAUGGAUAAAAUCUCAUACAACACACUUAUCUCGGGUUGUUGCAAGGAGGGAAAAGUGGAGGAAGCUUUUAAGCUUAAAGAAGAGAUGACUAAGCAAGGAAUUGAACCAGAUACUUAUACUUAUAAUUUGUUAAUUCAUGGUCUAUGUAAUAGGGGAAAAGUGGACGAUGCACUUAAACUAUGGGAUGAGUGUGAAAAUCGGGGUCUGGCUCCCAAUGUCUAUACAUAUGGGGUGAUGAUAGAUGGGUACUGUAAAGCUGGCAGAGUGGAUGAGGGUGAAAACCUUUUCAGUAAGUUGGUGACUAAAAAAGUGGAGCUAAAUUCUGUUGUUUAUAAUACACUAAUCAGAGCAUACAGCAAAAAUGGGAAUAUGACUGCAGCCCUUGGUCUCCGCUUGGACAUGAAAAAGAAAGGCAUUCAACCAACUUGUGCCACGUAUUCUUCUCUUAUAGAUGGACUCUGCAAUAUUGGCAGUGUUGAGGAUGCAAAAUGCCUUCUAGAUGAAAUGAGGAAUGAGGGCUUGUUGCCAGAUGUUGUAUGUUAUACAGCACUAAUUCAUGGUUAUUUUAAGCUAGGACAAAUAUAUAAAGUAGGGAAUGUCUUGCUGGAGAUGUCUUCAUUUAACAUAAAACCGAAUAAGAUUACCUACACUGUCAUGAUUGAUGGGUACUGUAAACUAGGCAAUAUGGAAGAAGCAACUAGACUGCUAUCUGAGAUGACAAAAAUGGGAGUUGUCCCAGAUGCUGUCACCUAUAAUGCGUUAACAAAUGGAUUUUGUAAGGAAAGGAAGGUGGAAGAAGCUUUUGAAGUAUGUGAUCAUAUGGCCAGUAAAGGAGUAGCUUUAGAUGAAAUUACGUAUACAACAUUGGUUCAUGGGUUGCAUCAGCCCACUACAUGUACAAAUCAGGAAUGAUUGGAAACAUUCAAAAGGUUAGGUUUUUUCUUUUUUGCAUGAAGAAUUCUUCUGUUUCUGAACAGUUUUAUGAUAUUUAACUUGUGCACCAUGUUUGCGCACCAUGUUCUGAAGGUAAUAUGGUUCAUUCACAGGUGCAUAUUCCUAUUCUUAAAACUGAUGGCCGUAGACCAUGGGAUACAUCUCCUUAACGUCUCUAAAAUGAUUCUUGAACAUUUGGAGGUUGGUAGAUCUGUACAUUACUCAUUUUCUUUGCUUCAUAUUUUUAUGAAGAUUCUUUAAUUACUUCUAAUUCAAUAACUAUGUGGAGUUGAUAUAUGUUAUUGCAUCGUCACUAGUAGGGUGAAGGUAUAGCCAUGAUAUGACAUUGGUUCACUAGUAAAUUUAUUCCUGGGUUGGGAGUAAAAUAAAUAGCUGGCACAAUUGUUGCUUUCCCAUGUUCUUUUUUCGUCUUAUUAUUUUAGAAACAUCUUCCUUGUUUGGCUAACUUAUUAAAGAUUCUCACUGUUACAUGUGCUUGCAGAGUUUCAUCCGCUAGUAGUUAUUAAGUUACGUAUAAACUUAAACAUCAUGACAUAAUCACAUUUUAUGUUGUAACUCCUUUUAGCUCCCAAAUAUUACAGACUUCAAGACUUUGUGAUGAUUCAUAUUUUAAGUGCCUCUCCUUCCAUUAAGUUUACACAUGCUCAGACUUUUAGCAUCACUGCAUAAAGUGGCCUCUUUGAGAAAAAAUUACACUUGUGUGCUCACUUCCAUUGUUAACUGCUUAAGUACUAUUGAGCAGUGUGGCUGUAGUAUAUAUCCUUUAUUUCCCAUCUCAAUGGUUGAGCGCCAUUAGUAUUCCUAGUAGGGAUGUCCUAAUUCAUUAAUUCAAGAUGUCUGUAUCAAUUGACUGUUACUUACUCUAAUGGUGGUCACCAGUUGCAACCCUACUUCAUUUGAGUUCGGGACUGGCUAUGUUUACAAAAGAAAGUAAGAAAUCAGCUGUCUCAAAUUUGAAUCCUGUUUACUCUGUUGAUGAGGCACAUAGCUCGACCAGAUGGCCAUACCGAAUGAUUGAAACAUCAAGAGAUGUCAGACUAGGUAUUGCACUUUAGACCAUCUUAUCUUUCGAAGGUUUAUUGCAUGAGUUUAUUUUCCCCUCGAUAUAUAAUGUGGUUGAUGGAGGCUAGAGAACUUGUUCUGAGGUGAAUCACAGAAUAAACAAAAAAUUGCUACGAGGAUUGUGUUGCAUAAAGCCUGGGGAAGAGAUAUUUUAUAGAUAACUGUGGGCAAGCAAACCUGCUUCUAGCAAUUUUAUCAAUAAUAUUGUUUGCUUUCUAUUUUAUUGUUUUCAUUCCGCAAACCGCAGUUGCUGAAUUUGAUGAACAACAGUUGUGAUCAUUAUUUCGAGUUGUUAGUGGUUUUUUUUCUUUCUCCUUCCUGCUUCUGUUGAAUUCUGUUGUAUUACGCAGAACCAUUUAAAUUUUCUUUUCUUUCGUUUUCAAUCAGAAUUUCCUGGAUUCCUGACCUAGCAAUUCCUCAGCCGAUCUUUGGAGCUAGUAUUGAGGUUUACAAGGUCACGCUUCAAAUAUGAGGUUAGAAGUUGUUUAUCAAAAAGUCAUGCUUGGAUAUAACAGAACUGAUAUUUUGCUCAACUCCUUUUUAUAUUUAAGUUCUCUUUUCCUUUCCCAGAAUUUAGGAUUUGAUGAUAUCAACAGAGACUAGAUAUCCUGAGUGACGCUAAGUUUAUGACAUAACAAGUUUGAUUGAUUAACUUGUCAUUUUUGUUUGGCUUUCAGCCGUAUAAACUACGGACCGUACCAUACUGACCAAAUUACUGAAGGUUACUUGGGGGUGAUUGUUGAUUUGGCUAUGGCUAUUACCGAAAUGAAAGAUGUACUUUGAAUACGUCUGUAUAGUAAUAACAUUGAUCAUGGAUUGCUAAUUUAGGCCUAAUUUCAUAGCUCGUCUAUUAUUUUAUUUUCGUAGUUGGCAUUCCACCUUUCUGUUUCUUGUUGGCUUAAUGGAGCUAUAUCAUUACUAGCUGUGAAUCAUGCCAUGGAUGGCUAAUAUUGUGAAGAGAAAUUAGAUUUAAAGUCUCACAAUCCAAAUGUAACUUUGCAGAACUUAAAUGACAUUUGCAACAGACCUCCCAAAUGCUCCUGCCUGCUCCAGAUGCUUGCUGUCGUCUGGAAGUCAUGAGAUUUACAACUCCCUGCAGGAUGCGAUGCCUGUGUUCUAUUGUUGUGCGAUCUUUCGAGGAGAGGAUGGCUUUUCCAGCGCGGAUUAUGUGAAUUUUCACGCAACUGAUUGACCGGGGUUUGUUUGGGUAAAAACCAGUUCCCUGCGUUUUUCCAAGGCAAUUCAUGGAAAGGCUGUUGGAAUGCAAGAAAGAAAUUCAUCUAUGCGUUUCCUUUCUGGUGGAGACGCGAUGUAUCCGUGUUAUGAAAAUUGUUAUUUCCCAUUCAUAUUUGUAGUGCUUCGUUCAUAGAGAACAUGAAGAAAAGAGUGCUGACAAAAUAAUAAUAAUAAUAAUAAUGAUGAACAUAAGAAAAGUUCAACAAGGAAUGCGGAUGGUAUGACUUCUGAUUAAUGAAGGGACCUGUCCAUAAAUAAAUACAUAAAAAAAACAAUAGUCAAUGAAAGUAAUAAGGGUAAAUUACAAAAAACUAUCUCAACUAUUGGGUCCAAGGUAUUAAAUAUCGAUGAUAUCGGAAAUAUCGGUAGUCCGAAAACACGGAAAUAUUGAUGGAAAUAUCGGGAUAAUAUCGAUAUCGAUAAAAAUUAUAUGGAAACCACGGAAAUUGUAAGAAAAACUUGGAAAUUUUUAUUGAAACUUUGCAGGAUGUUUAUUUAGUCAAUUAUCUAUUAAUUUAUCACAAAAAAUUGGAAGGAAAUGCAUUGCAUGAUGGAUUUAACUUAUUUAAGUUGAUUAUAUAGCGAGCUGGCAAACAUUGUGAGUGUAGAAAAUAUGUAGUAAUUAAUGAAAGAAGUUUAAACACACCAUAAUUAUUUAUAUAUAAUGAAUUAGUAUAAUAUUUUACAUUUUAUUCGUCCUAUAAAUUAUUUGCAUGUUUUUUUUUUUCACAUUACACGCCACGCCACCACACACACACACAGAGAUAAAUUUUUUCACAUUACACUCUUACACACGCCACCACACAUGCACACAGAGUUCAAGAGAACCCACACCACACACGCACACCAAGAGCUCUCAGUCAAUCCCUCUCUCUUCUCCUUUCAGUCUUCUUGAAUCCCCCAUCUCCCCCCCCCCCCCCCCCCCCCCCUCCCCCCCCCCCCCCCAACAAUCUCUUCUCCGCUGCGCCCCCCCACACUUCGAAUCUUCAGAUCCCCCCCCACCCUUCGAAUCUUCAGAUCUCUCCCCCCCCAACCCUUCGAAUCUUCAAUCGCCGCGGAUCUCCCCCCCCCCAACCCUUCAAAACUUCAAUCGCCGCAGCCCCUGGAAAUGGAAAAACGAAGGGCGAAUUGUGUUAUGGUUUUUGUUUUCAUUUGUAUAUUUUCCCUUUUUUAUUGGUAAGAUUUGUUCAAACCUCAUCCUGCCAUUGAUUUUCAUAACUGCUUCCCAGAGCCUCCCCAAUUUCUUCCCCGCAGAAGCCCUCUCCUUCCCUUCCGACGACGGAGCCUCGGAGUUUGGCGAUAUUAUCGGUAAUAUCAAUAAUAUCGCGAUAUUUUGACGAUAAAUGACUGGAUAUGUGUAAAAAUAUCGCUCUCUGUAAAAAACGAUAUUAUCGGCGAUAUUUCGCCGAUAAUAUCGAUAUUUUGUUCAUUGAUUGGGUCAACCACAGUUUCAUACCUCAUCUUUAAAACAUUUCAAUGUCAUACCUUAUCUUCGAAUUUGUUGCAAUGUGAUACCUUUGUCUAUUAAUUCCUCUGUUAAAUGUUGACGUGGCUUGAGGCAUGAUCCACUUUCUAUUAAAAAAUUAAUUAAAUAUUAAAAAAAAUUAAAAUACAAUUAUUUAAAUAUUUUUAUAAAAAUAAUGUGGGACCCACCCACCUUCUUCCUAUCCUAGUCGUCUCCCCCACCUUUCCUCCCUUCCCUCAAAACUAGAAUCCCAUCGUGACUCUCCCUCGCUCUCAUCCUCACUACUCAAUCAUCUUUUCCACCUAGCCACCCAACCAUCUACACUCUGAUCAAGCCAUUCCCCUCCAUGACCGUCCUCCCCUAUGCCCCCCUCCACUGCUGCACUUGCCACUCCGUCCUCAACCCAUUCUCCACCGUCGAUUACACAGUCAAGAUUUGGAUUUACCCUUUCUGCUUCACUCACAACCACUUCCCUCCCCACUACACCUCCAUCUCCGACGAGAAGCUCCCUUCCACCAUCUGAUGGCCAUACUCUUUUUCGAUGGUGUGGACUAACACAGCAGACACCACGAUGUCUAAGUACCCGUCCCCGAACAACAAUCUCCUGGGGUCGCCCUCGCGUCAAGUCACGUACUCCCCCACACCUUCAAUCUUCGCCGUUUGCAGCGUUGACUAGAGACUCGUUAUCUUGGACCGAUCCAGGCCCAUAACCCGACCCGAACUCCCAUCUUUCUUCAUUUGGGUCGCCACAACGUUUAAGAGUAUGCCGCGACCGCUGCCGACUUCGAGGGCGUGCUUGACGUUAAACCAUUCGUUGACUGAGCCGACCAUGUGCUGGGCGACAUUGUAGUGGAGGGGGAGUGAGGAGUAUAGGAAGUGUCCGGAUGUGAAGAAGAGGCAAAGGGAGGAAAGGGCGGUGACAGAGCCAGUGAACUCUGCGACAAAACAAGCAGUGUCGAUGAGGAGGAGGAGGAGGAAGAAGAGGGUGACGAGGUUGAAAUAAGUGAGGUAGAAGAGUGACAGAGCGGUAAAUAAGACAUCGUUGAAGAGAAGGAAGAGAAUGGUGUGCAACUGGUUGAGACCGUAGAUUGCGUAGAUCUGAUGGUUUCCCCAUCUUCCUCUCUCUGAACAUGUUUCUAGAAGGCAUCAAAUCUCCAAGACUUUAAACAAAUUCGAAGAAGGUGGAUAGGGAAUGAAGGUUGGGGGUUAAGGACACGGGUGGAUGGGGAAUAAGCUGGUUCUGGUUUUGGACUGAAGGGAGGAAGAGUGGGGGGAGAUGGGUGGGAUAGGAAGAAGGUGGGUGGGUCCCACAUUAUUUUUAUAAAAAUAUUUAAAUAAAAAUAUUUUAAUUUUUUUAAUAUUUAAUUAAUUUUUUUAAUAGAAAGUGGGUCCCGUCUCAAGCCAUGUCAACAUUUAAUAGAGCAAUUGACAGACAAACUGACGGAAGGUACGACAUUGCAACAAAUUUAAAGAUAAGGUAUGACAUUGAAAUGUUUUAAAGAUGGGGUAUGAAACUGUGGUUGACCCAAUAGUUGAGGUAGUUUUUUGUAAUUCGAAAACUAAGUAGUUUGAAUUGAAAUGAAUUCAGAGCUCAGUUGUUGACAACAUGCUAGUUUGAUGUGCCAAGAGUCGAGUUGGUAGAAGGAGAAUUGGACAAAGUCCCCAACCAAGGUGGUGGCAACAUGCCAGUUUGCUCAUUAACUGUCGUGAACAACGAUGGCAAUGUCUUGUAAACACUCGCAAUCUCUUUGAAAGCCCCAUUGGCACCGUCAUCACUGCCCUUUGCGCCACUAGUAGUCUAACUGCUAAUCUUGGGCUGAAGACUGCACACGGCGUCAGCAUUGAUCUGGGCAACUUGUUGAAACAUGCCAUUGUUGAUCACCAAGAAGUCCCUCACAGCUGCAUAGUUGCCUCUAACUGCGUCCAAAAGAGAGCGUGGAUAUGCGCCUUGGGCUUGUCCAAGGGCCAUGAGUCCUUCAACCUCUCUUUUCUUUGCAUAACAUUAUGCAUCAGCAGCUUGUUGACGAGCAUAGAGUCCUGCCUCGAUCAUUUUUUACUUUGCAUAAAAGUCUCAAUCAACGACUUGUUAUUUGAAAAUACAACCCUGAUGGAUCAACUAUUUCAUAUAGGUAGAGCACUAGUUUACAUAAUUUUUCAUCUGUAUUCAUGCGUGCAAAACCAAUGCAUGCAUAUAUGUAUUCUAUAUAAUAUUUAAGAAGGAAAAAGAAAGAAGCACAAGACGUACCUUGGUUUCAUACUCAACAUUGGCCUCAGUCAAUAACUCACCCUUAAACUUCUCCAUUCUAGUCAAGGCAUUUAUCUUCUCCACCUCUUUUUGCAACUCUGCCUCUCUCGAUGCCAUCGCAUUUUCAGCCUCUACCUCAGCCACAUGCGCCUCUUCAUAUUCUUCCUUAUCGGCUCAGCAUCGGCUUCUGCUAUCUCAGCCUCCCUUAUAUUCUCAAACACCUUCACCUACAUCCUAGUCUUAAUCUCCUCCAUCUUCCUCUCUCCCUCCCUAUGCAUCAUAAAAAUCUUCGUUUCUGCAUCAAUCUAUGUUGCGUUCUACAACGUCAACCCCUGCCUCUCUUUCGACCCUAUAUACUCCCAUUUCUUCUUUGUUUCUGCCACGUCAACCCUAGCCUGAUUCGCCGCCUUCAUCUGUAUCUUCUACCCCACAACAACAACAACAAUAACAAAGCCUUUUCCCACUAAGUGGGGUCGGCUAUAUGAAUCCUAGAAUGCCAUUAUGCUCGAUCCUGUGUCAUGUCCUCCGUUAGAUCUAAGUACUCUAAGUCUUUUCUUAGAGUCUCUUCCAAAGUUUUCCUAGGUCUUCCUCUACCCCUUCGGCCCUGAACCUCUAUCCCGUAGUCGCAUCUUCUAACCGGAGCGUCAGUAGGCCUUCUUUGCACAUGUCCAAACCACCGUAACCGAUUUUCUCUCAGCUUUCCUUCAAUUUCGGCUACUCUUACUUUACAUCGGAUAUCCUCAUUCCUAAUCUUAUCCUUUCUCGUGUGCCCACACAUCCAACGAAGCAUCCUCAUCUCCGCUACACCUAUUUUAUGUAUGUGUUGAUGCUUCACCGCCCAACAUUCUAUGCCAUACAGCAUCGCCGGCCUUAUUGCCGUCCUAUAAAUUUUCCCUUGAGCUUCAGUGGCAUACGGCGGUCACACAACACGCCGGAUGCACUCUUCCACUUCAUCCAUCCAGCUUGUAUUCUAUGGUUGAGAUCUCCACUAUAUCGUCUACGAAAAGCAUACACCAAGGAAUAUCAUCUUGAAUAUGUCCUGUUAACUCAUCCAUUACCAACGCAAAAAGGUAAGGACUUAAGGAUGAGCCUUGAUGUAAUCCUACAGUUAUGGGGAAGCUUUCGGUUUGUCCUUCAUGAGUUCUUGCGGCAGUCUUUGCUCCUUCAUACAUAUCCUUUAUAGCUUGGAUAUAUGCUACUCGUACUCCUUUCUUCUCUAAAAUCCUCCAAAGAAUGUCUCUUGGGACCUUAUCAUACCCUUUUUCCAAAUCUAUAAAGACCAUGUGUAAAUCCUUUUUCCCAUCUCUAUAUCUUUCCAUCAAUCUUCGUAAGAGAUAGAUUGCCUCCAUGGUUGAGCGCCUUGGCAUGAACUUGAAUUGGUUGUCCGAAACCAGUGUCUCUUGCCUCAAUCUAUGCUCAAUGACUCUCUCCCAGAGCUUCAUUGUAUGACUCAUUAGCUUAAUACCCCUAUAGUUCAUGCAAUUUUGUACGUCGCCCUUAUUCUUGUAGAUAAGCACCAAAGUGCUCUUUCGCCACUCAUUUGGCAUCUUCUUCGUUUUCAAAAUCCUAUUGAAAAGGUCAGUGAGCCAUGCUAUACCUGUCUCUCCCAAGACUUUCCACACUUCGAUCGGUAUAUCAUCUGGGCCCACUGCUCUUCUAUGCUUCAUCUUCUUCAAAGCUACAACCACUUCUUCCUUCCUAAUUCGACGGUAAAAGAAGUAGUUUCUACACUCUUCUGAGUUACUCAACUCCCCUAAAGAAGUACUCCUUUUAUGUCCUUCAUUGAAAAGAUUAUGAAAACAACCUCUUCAUCUGUCUUUGACCGCGUUCUCUGUAGCAAGAACCUUUCCAUCCUCAUCCUUGAUGCACCUCACUUGGUUUAGGUCCCUUGUCUUCUUUUCCCUUGCUUUAGCUAGUUUAUAGAUAUCCAACUCUCCUUCUUUGGUAUCUAGUCGCUUAAAUAUAUAUCUUCGUAAGCCGCUAACUUAGCUUCUCUCACAGCUUUCUUCGCCUCUUGCUUCGCUCUUCUAUACCUUUCACCAUUUUCAUCGGUCCUAUCCUUGUAUAAGGCUUUACAACAUUCCUUCUUAGCCUUCACCUUUGUUUGUACCUCCUCAUUCCACCACCAAGAUUCCUUUUGGUGUGGAGCAAAGCCCUUGGACUCUCAUAAUACCUCUUUUGCUACUUUUCGAAUACAACUAGCCAUGGAAUCCCACCUUUGGCUAGCUUCCCCCUCUCUAUCCCACACGCACUGGGUGAUUACUUUCUCUUUGAAAAUGGCUUGUUUUUCUCCUUUUAGAUUCCACUAUCUAGUCCUUUGGCACUUCCAAGUCUUGUUCUUUUUUCUCACUCUUUUGAUAUGUACAUCCAUCACCAACAAGCGAUGUUGAUUAGCCAAGCUCUCUCUCGGUAUAACUUUGCAAUCCUUACAAGUUAUACGAUCCCCUUUCCUCAUUAGAAGAAAAUCUAUUUGUGUUUUUGACGACCCACUCUUGUAGGUGAUCACAUGUUCUUCUCUCUUCUUAAAGAAGGUGAUGGCUAAGAAGAGAUCGUAUGCCAUUGCAAAAUCCAAGAUAGCUUCCCCAUCCUCGUUUCUCUCCCUAAAACCAUGGCCACCAUGAAAACCUCCAUAGUUGCCUGUCUUUUUGGCCACGUGUCCAUUUAAAUCUCCUCCUAUAAAUAACUUCUCUGUCUGAGCAAUUCCUUGCACCAAGUCUCCAAGGUCUUCUCAAAAUUUCUCCUUCGAACUUGUAUCCAACCCUACUUGAGGUGCGUACGCACUAAUCACAUUGAUGAGUUCUUGUCAUAUUACAAUCUUGAUUGCCAUGAUUCUAUCUCCUACCCUCUUGACACCUACAACAUCUUGUGUCAAGGUCUUGUCCACGAUGAUGCCAACACCGUUUCUCGUUUUAUUUGUGCCCGAAUACCAAAGUUUAAACCCUGAGUUUUCUAGAUCCUUUGCCUUA